Molecule: ribosomal RNA, 296 nt
Filed under: Pseudarthrobacter enclensis
Lineage: Bacteria; Bacillati; Actinomycetota; Actinomycetes; Micrococcales; Micrococcaceae
Description: Arthrobacter enclensis partial 16S ribosomal RNA
Rfam family: Bacterial small subunit ribosomal RNA
Source: RNAcentral
UUCAACGGAGAGUUUGAUCCUGGCUCAGGAUGAACGCUGGCGGCGUGCUUAACACAUGCAAGUCGAACGAUGAAGGGAGCUUGCUCCUGGAUUAGUGGCGAACGGGUGAGUAACACGUGAGUAACCUGCCCUUGACUCUGGGAUAAGCCUGGGAAACUGGGUCUAAUACCGGAUAUGACCUUCCAUCGCAUGGUGGUUGGUGGAAAGCUUUUGUGGUUUUGGAUGGACUCGCGGCCUAUCAGCUUGUUGGUGGGGUAAUGGCCUACCAAGGCGACGACGGGUAGCCGGCCUGAGAG